RNAcentral lists this ribosomal RNA (232 nucleotides) under uncultured bacterium. RNAcentral describes it as "partial 16S ribosomal RNA". It matches the Rfam family "Bacterial small subunit ribosomal RNA", at positions 335 to 585 of the family's 1533-position model. The record is from RNAcentral.
AGCCUACGGGGGGCAGCAGUGGGGGAUAUUGCACAAUGGGGGAAACCCUGACGCAGCGACGCCGCGUGCGUGAAGAAGUAUUUCGGGAUGUAAAGCUCUUUCAGCAGGGACGAAAAUGACGGUACCUGAGUAAGAAGCCCCGGCUAACUACGUGCCAGCAGCCGCGGUAAUACGUAGGGGGCAAGCGUUAUCCGGAUUUAUUGGGCGUAAAGGGAGCGCAGGCGGUCAUGCA